Molecule: ribosomal RNA, 488 nt
Filed under: uncultured bacterium
Lineage: Bacteria
Description: bacterial SSU rRNA
Rfam family: Bacterial small subunit ribosomal RNA
Source: RNAcentral
GAUAAACGCUGGCGGCGCACAUAAGACAUGCAAGUCGAACGGAAGUCGUUAUAAAAAGGAUUGAGGAUUUAUCUGAUUGAGAUUUUAUAACAAUGGCUUUAGUGGCGGACUGGUGAGUAACGCGUGAGCAACCUGCCUACUAGAGGGGAAUAACAGUGAGAAAUCAUUGCUAAUACCGCAUAUGCCAUGAACAUCACAUGAUGAAAGUGGGAAAAGAGUAAUCUGCUAGUAGAUGGGCUCGCGUCUGAUUAGAUAGUUGGUGGGGUAACGGCCUACCAAGUCGACGAUCAGUAGCCGGACUGAGAGGUUGAACGGCCACAUUGGGACUGAGAUACGGCCCAGACUCCUACGGGAGGCAGCAGUCGGGAAUAUUGCGCAAUGGAGGAAACUCUGACGCAGUGACGCCGCGUAUAGGAAGAAGGUUUUCGGAUUGUAAACUAUUAGUCGUUAGGGAAGAUACAAGACAGUACCUAAGGAGGAAGCUCCGG